This 497-nucleotide ribosomal RNA is filed under the name uncultured bacterium. Its description in RNAcentral is "partial 16S ribosomal RNA". It matches the Rfam family "Bacterial small subunit ribosomal RNA", at positions 28 to 507 of the family's 1533-position model. The record is from RNAcentral.
GAUGAACGCUGGCGGCGUGCCUAAUACAUGCAAGUCGAGCGAACAGACGAGGAGCUUACUCCUCUGACGUUAGCGGCGGACGGGUGAGUAACACGUGGAUAACCUACCUAUAAGACUGGGAUAACUUCGGGAAACCGGAGCUAAUACCGGAUAACAUGUUGAACCGCAUGGUUCAACAGUGAAAGACGGUCUUGCUGUCACUUAUAGAUGGAUCCGCGUCGCAUUAGCUAGUUGGUAAGGUAACGGCUUACCAAGGCAACGAUGCGUAGCCGACCUGAGAGGGUGGUCGGCCACACUGGCACUGAGACACGGUCCAGACUCCUACGGGAGGCAGCAGUAGGGAAUCUUCCGCAAUGGGCGAAAGCCUGACGGAGCAACGCCGCGUGAGUGAAGAAGGUCUUCGGAUCGUAAAACUCUGUUAUUAGGGAAGAACAAAUGUGUAAGUAACUAUGCACGUCUUGACGGUACCUAAUCAGAAAGCCACGGCUAACUACGUG